CACGUUUACAGUUUUGGAGGUUAGCUGUAGCUUCUCGGGUUUUCUGCGCAGACUAAUUAACAAGCUAAUAUAACAAGCCAGAGGUUUCCCAGAGACUAUGGGUUGAGGAGGAAUUGGAAGUUUGUCGGCUUAGACCUGGUGUUAUUCCAUCAGUGUUAAACUUCCCGGCUCAUCUUGGAAGAGUACGUGCCAGAAAGACCACAACCAAGCAGCCUUGAGAUCUUAGACAACAUCUCCCUGAGGUGGGUGUCAACAGUGUUCACAGUCAGGUCUGUGGUAAUCCUGUCAAAAAACAAAACAGAAAAAAAUCUAGAUUAUAAAUCAACAUGUAACCAAAGCACUCUGUGUAUAACGCCAUAGUAUAGGAUGUAGUUCAGAAAAUGUCAAAGUAUAGCAUACUUUACUCAAGAAUAACAUAGUAUGGCCUGUAGUUCAUAGUACAGCAUGUCGGCA
Molecule: long non-coding RNA, 453 nt
Organism: Amphiprion ocellaris (clown anemonefish)
Lineage: Eukaryota; Metazoa; Chordata; Actinopteri; Pomacentridae
Source: Ensembl